UACGUAGGGGGCGAGCGUUAUCCAGAUUUACUGGGCGUAAAGCGUGCGCAGGCGGUUCGUUGUGUCGGUGGUGAAAUCCCCGGGCUUAACCUGGGAAUGGCCAUGGAAACUGGCGAACUGGAGUGCGGCAGAGGGGGGUGGAAUUCCGCGUGUAGCAGUGAAAUGCGUAGAGAUGCGGAGGAACACCGAUGGCGAAGGCAGCCCCCUGGGCUAACACUGACGCCUGAGGCACGAAAGCGUGGGGAGCAAACAGG
RNAcentral lists this ribosomal RNA (254 nucleotides) under uncultured bacterium. RNAcentral describes it as "partial 16S ribosomal RNA". It matches the Rfam family "Bacterial small subunit ribosomal RNA", at positions 524 to 776 of the family's 1533-position model. The record is from RNAcentral.